UUAAUACAACUUUAAAAGUUGAUAUUUUAGUAACUUUAAUUUUAUUAUUGUUUUAUAUUAAGAAUAGAAUCAUUUAUCAUAAUCACUAUAUUGAUAUAUACGUUAAUAACUCAAUACACAUGUAAGAAUAUAAUUUAUGUAUUUAAUAAUUUAAGACAUAGUUAAUUUUAAAAUGACUAGCAAAAAUUGUGCCAGCAGCUGCGGUUAUACAAUUAGUCAUUAUUAUUUUUAUUAGGAUUAUUAUUAAUUUUUAUACUAUUGAUUUUAAUAAUAACUAUAAUUUUUAGGUGAAAUUUAAAUAUUAAUUUAAAUUUAGGUAAAUUUAAAGAUUUAUAAGAAAUUCUUUUUUGAAACUAGGAUUAGAUACCCUAUUAUUUUGAAUGUAAAAUUAUCCUUAAUAUUAAUAGUUAAGAUCUUUAAAUUGAAAGAAUUUGACGGUAAUUUGAUCAUUUUAGAGGAACCUGUUCUGUAAUCGAUAAUCCACGAUAAAUUUUACCUUAAUUUAUAGUUUGUAUAUCUCUGUUUGAUGAAUGUUUUAUUAGGAUAUUUUCUUUUAUCUUUAUGGGGAUUUAUAUCAGGUCAAGGUGCAGCCAUAUUAAGGGUUGAAAUGGGUUACACUUAAUUUUUUAUUUUAUUAUUGGAUUAAUAUAUUUAUUAUAUAUUAAUUAAAUUGGAUUUAAUUGUAAUGUUUAAUAUAUUUUAUUCAUGAUAUAUGUUCUUGAUUAAGUACAUAUCGCCCGUCACUCUCAUUAUUAAAAUGGGAUAAGUCGUAACAAAGUAAUCCUAUCGGAAGAUGGGGUUGGAAUUAUA
RNAcentral lists this non-coding RNA (810 nucleotides) under Eocanthecona thomsoni. The record is from RNAcentral. Lineage: Eukaryota; Metazoa; Arthropoda; Insecta; Hemiptera; Pentatomidae.